Suricata suricatta (meerkat) is the source of this 645-nucleotide long non-coding RNA. RefSeq lists it as uncharacterized. The transcript is spliced from 4 exons. The record is from RefSeq and is a predicted model, not a curated record. Lineage: Eukaryota; Metazoa; Chordata; Mammalia; Carnivora; Herpestidae.
AGUGAUAAAAGUGAGAUCACAAGGACAGUGGCUCCCAGCCCCUCCCAGAAUCCAUGUCCAAAGAGGCACUUGACCUGAAAACCCCAUGAUGGGGAGAGGGGAGAACAUUGGACACUCCAGCAGAACUUGGCUGAGCAGAUGGUAAUGGCCAGUGUUCACUCUGUGACCCCAGAGCCUUAAAGAGACCCAGAGCAUCUCACCCCCAAGACAGCCAGAAUAAAGUUGGCUGUGAGUGCACUCCAGGUGGGGGCUGGGCUCCUGUGUGAGCACAGGCUGGAUGGAAGCCAAGAGAAGCCAGAAGUCCCCUGGAUCUUGGCAAAGCAUUCAAUGUUUACGUGCAAACGGGAAACAGUCCCCUAACUCACCGCCCCCCAUGUUGCUCUGUGCUAACCGAUCUGAUUGGAAAGAACAGAGGUCUCUGUGGCUGCUUUGGGCUCCGGAGUUCAGAUGAAUCGGGCGACACAGACUUCUCGUGGGUAUUUGACAACGGCAGCUCUGGCAUGGAAUCUGUUCUGGAUCCACGGAAGGAGAAGGCUUGAGGAAAUGAAUUCAAGAUUCCUAUGCCAAGAAAAAGGUGGAAACUCCCUGCCCCACACUCCAACCUGAAACACGAAACCCUGGGCUGUGUUUCCAUUUUGAUUGUUC